RNAcentral lists this ribosomal RNA (493 nucleotides) under Escherichia coli. Its description in RNAcentral is "bacterial SSU rRNA". It matches the Rfam family "Bacterial small subunit ribosomal RNA", at positions 8 to 490 of the family's 1533-position model. The record is from RNAcentral. Lineage: Bacteria; Pseudomonadati; Pseudomonadota; Gammaproteobacteria; Enterobacterales; Enterobacteriaceae.
AGAGUUUGAUCCUGGCUCAGAUUGAACGCUGGCGGCAGGCCUAACACAUGCAAGUCGAACGGUAACAGGAAGAAGCUUGCUUCUUUGCUGACGAGUGGCGGACGGGUGAGUAAUGUCUGGGAAACUGCCUGAUGGAGGGGGAUAACUACUGGAAACGGUAGCUAAUACCGCAUAACGUCGCAAGACCAAAGAGGGGGACCUUCGGGCCUCUUGCCAUCGGAUGUGCCCAGAUGGGAUUAGCUAGUAGGUGGGGUAAAGGCUCACCUAGGCGACGAUCCCUAGCUGGUCUGAGAGGAUGACCAGCCACACUGGAACUGAGACACGGUCCAGACUCCUACGGGAGGCAGCAGUGGGGAAUAUUGCACAAUGGGCGCAAGCCUGAUGCAGCCAUGCCGCGUGUAUGAAGAAGGCCUUCGGGUUGUAAAGUACUUUCAGCGGGGAGGAAGGGAGUAAAGUUAAUACCUUUGCUCAUUGACGUUACCCGCAGAAGAAG